AUUGAACGCUGGCGGAAUGCUUUACACAUGCAAGUCGAACGGCAGCACGGACUUCGGUCUGGUGGCGAGUGGCGAACGGGUGAGUAAUGUAUCGGAACGUGCCCAGUCGUGGGGGAUAACGUAGUGAAAAUUACGCUAAUACCGCAUACGAUCUAUGGAUGAAAGCGGGGGAUCGCAAGACCUCGCGCGAUUGGAGCGGCCGAUAUCAGAUUAGGUAGUUGGUGGGGUAAAGGCCCACCAAGCCAACGAUCUGUAGCUGGUCUGAGAGGACGACCAGCCACACUGGAACUGAGACAAGGUCCAGACUCCUACGGGAGGCAGCAGUGGGGAAUUUUGGACAAUGGGCGAAAGCCUGAUCCAGCCAUUCCGCGUGCAGGAUGAAGGACCUCGGGUUGUAAACUGCUUUUGUGCAGAACGAAAAGGUUUCUACUAAUACUAGGAGCUCAUGACGGUACUGUAAGAAUAAGCACCGGCUAACUACGUGCCAGCCGCCGCGGUAA
This 500-nucleotide ribosomal RNA is filed under the name uncultured bacterium. RNAcentral's name for it is "partial 16S ribosomal RNA". It matches the Rfam family "Bacterial small subunit ribosomal RNA", at positions 30 to 523 of the family's 1533-position model. The record is from RNAcentral.